CCUACGGGUGGCUGCAGUGGGGAAUAUUGCACAAUGGGCGCAAGCCUGAUGCAGCCAUGCCGCGUGUGUGAAGACGGCCUUCGGGUUGUAAAGCACUUUCAGCGGGGAGGAAGGCGGUGAGGUUAAUAACCUCAUCGAUUGACGUUACCCGCAGAAGAAGCACCGGCUAACUCCGUGCCAGCAGCCGCGGUAAUACGGAGGGUGCAAGCGUUAAUCGGAAUUACUGGGCGUAAAGCGCACGCAGGCGGUCUGUCAAGUCGGAUGUGAAAUCCCCGGGCUCAACCUGGGAACUGCAUUCGAAACUGGCAGGCUAGAGUCUUGUAGAGGGGGGUAGAAUUGCAGGUGUAGCGGUGAAAUGCGUAGAGAUCUGGAGGAAUACCGGUGGCGAAGGCGGCCCCCUGGACAAAGACUGACGCUCAGGUGCGAAAGCGUGGGGAGCGAACAGGAUUAGAUACCCGGUAGUC
RNAcentral lists this ribosomal RNA (464 nucleotides) under uncultured Klebsiella sp. Its description in RNAcentral is "bacterial SSU rRNA". It matches the Rfam family "Bacterial small subunit ribosomal RNA", at positions 338 to 795 of the family's 1533-position model. The record is from RNAcentral. Lineage: Bacteria; Pseudomonadati; Pseudomonadota; Gammaproteobacteria; Enterobacterales; Enterobacteriaceae.